UAUGUCCAGAAUUGUUGCUUCACACUAUUUGCUGAUUCGGUUUGGUUUGCAUUGGUUUUGAAAUUAAAACUGAUUUCGGUUCGGUUUCAUUGGUUUUGUGGAAAAAAACUAAAAGAGUCACGCGAUGGAGAAUUUGGAGAGAUGUGCGUCGAUAAAAAAAAGCAUGAAUUGGAAAAGGGUUUACCCACAGAAUCGCUUUCACUCGCUCAACGCGCUCUUUCUGCGAUUCGCCCAGACAGGAAAUCAAACUCAUACUAUGCAUGUAGCUAGUGUUGUUCUGUUGACCCUAUAAAGCCUUUACUUUUACUCUAGUCAGCUUAUAGUUGCAUUCUUUA
This is a long non-coding RNA of Arabidopsis thaliana (thale cress), 335 nucleotides long. RefSeq annotates it as other RNA. The transcript has 2 exons. The record is from RefSeq. NCBI's taxonomy places the organism in Eukaryota, Viridiplantae, Streptophyta, Magnoliopsida, Brassicales, Brassicaceae.